AACCGAAUAAUUUUUGGUAUUCUCCUCAAUUCGGUUAUUACCGAAUUAAUAUUCGGUAUUCGGGUAUAAAUAUGGUUAGUGAAAUAUUGGUAUUCGGUUAACCGAAUAGCCGAAUAGAGUUUUAAAAAAAGGCCUAACCGAAUACUUUUUAAUUCUUAAGAGUUCAAGACUUCAGUUACUUUACCCUCACUCUCUCAGACCUAACCUAAGUACUCUACCGACUCUUUUUCUCUUCUCUUCACAGCCAAAUCCCGAAGUUCGUUUUCCGAUCUACGGAGAGCAAAGUUCGGGGGCUUUGGGGUUAUGAUCUGGUUUGGAGGUUUACUUGGGGUCCGUCAUCCGUGGAUAUGGCAACAAUCGAAGUCUGGAGGAUUCUUCAUGAAUUAUUUCCAGGUACGUCCAAUGGGAGCAGACUCUUGACACCACUACCAGAAGGGGCCAUGUAAAUGCUUCCCCAAAUUGUUAUAUUCACGAGAAGAGAGCUUUAAGUGAUGAAGAAGCAUGUGAGCAUGGUUUCGGAUCUUGAUGGUUACGGAUGUCCCGGGAGUUUUGGAAGAUGGUCCUCUGCUAAAGAUGAUCUUGAAAGCAUGUGAGCAUGUUUUCCCCAAAUUGUUAUAUGUAUUUCUUGCUAUUUGUGUCUUUAAUCAGUUCUUGCUUGCUCUUGCCGGAACAUGGGUUUGUUUGGCCUAUUGAUUUCGGAUGUUCGAUCUUUAGCCCAUUCGAUGGUUAGGGCUUCCACUGAUCUGUUUUGGAUUCGAUACGUGCUUUGUUGAUUUUAUUGAUUAUCCUGUUCAUGGCUAGAUUUGGUAUUCGGUUGUUGAUCGUUGUUAAUUAGUGAUUGAAAACUCUAGUUUGCUUUGCCAAUUUGAAAUGAAAUUUUUCUAUUUGAUAAAAUGGAACUUAUUUUCUGUUAUUAACCGAAAUAAUUGAAUUUUCAAUUUUCAAUUCGAUAAUUUGGUCUGAAAUUCGGUUAGUUAUUCGGAUAGUGCAAUUUCAAAGAUUUCGGUAUUUGGUUAUAUCCGAAUAAGCUAUUCGGUUCGGAUAUAACCGAAUUAUUCACCCUUAACUACGAUAGGAUAGUCGGGGGUCUCGCUCUUCGGUGAGCGAACAGCUCGCUGGUGAGCUGGCGGGGUUACAAGGGGGUAGUGCCCCUUAUAAGCCAAGCGUAAAGUGCAAUUGAGCUUGGAGAUUUAUUAGUAGUUGAGUCUUGAGUUUUACUAAUGUAUUAGGCCUCAUGUGUUUGGGCUCAUGUUAUAGCCGCUAGGGUUUUUCUAAGUACUAUAAAAAUAUUGUUUGGAGUGGACUCCAGGUAAUACUAUAAUGAGUAAUGGUACCAUGACAAAAGACGGAUAACAAAAAUGCAUACAAAAUAAUGUGUUAGAUUAUAAUUUGUUGAUCUUCUACCAAACAUAGAUGAGUUCAAUAGUUAUAUACAAGGGUACACUUUUUUUUCAUCAUACUUACCUCGGUUUACAAAUAUAUUAUUGGACUGAUUUUUUUUUCAUUUGACUCAUUGUACUAUAUUUUUUAACAAAACGUUAUAAAAUCCGUCCAAACCCAGUUGACUUUUAACGGCAAAAAUAAAAAUAUAUAAUUUUAUUUAGUUUUCCACGUUCGUCUCACAGAUUCGUCCAUGUCACUGUCAAGGUGGAAUUACAGUCUAUAAAAUAAAAAUAAUUAUAUUAGAAACAAAAUAGUUAGUAAAGAAGGUGACAAUAUAUUUUUAGAAUAUAAAUAAAUCAUAAUUAAACAAAUUAAAAGGUUAAUAAUAAAAAUCAAACCAUCUGUGCAACAACUCUUACCAUUUCAUCUUUUGCAAAUUACCAAUAAGGAUCUAAUCAUCAUCAUCCUUUAUCAACAACUCAAAUCCUCAAAAUAUCAUAUUCGAUCUCUAUCUCUAUCUCCAUCUGUUAGAAUUUGAGCCUAAAUUAAUGCGGGUGUCAUUAAUUAUUUGUAAUGAUAUCACACAUCAAUGUGUUCUAAUCUAGGAGUAGAUUAAAUCAAGUAUUUGAAAGCUCAAAUCUAUGGAGUAAUGAAUGAGAAAUUAACUCCUAAAGUCAUCACUUGAACAUGAUAAUAAUAGUUGUGAGGAACAAAAGCCUCACAUCAUCUAAAAACUAAACAAUGAGUUAGUAUAUAUAUAAUUACCUUGCUCUUGGGUUUGGGUUUGGGCCCCAAGGGGCACCCCACUUUUGUUGAAAGGAGGGUAUCUAGCCAAUGUUUAGUUUGAACCCACACGCGCGCGUCGCCACCGCCGUCGACCGGUCGGGCUCGAGGUUCUUGGGUCUGGAUCAUUGUAUAUUUCUUUUUGAACAAAAUUUAUUUAAAAUUUUGCUUUGUUUACUUCCAAUUUUAUUUAUUAUUAUCAAAAUUUAAAAUUGUGUCGUUAAUUUAAGUUCCUGCGAUGCGGUUGAACUAUUUGCAGAUUAUGCAGAUUUUAGCGUUGCAACGCUUAGGUACAACGCCGCAGAGCUGAGCCCAAACGGUGCCUAGCGCCGCAAUGCUAGAACGCAGAGUCGCGGAGCUGUCGGCGUUUUCUGCACGAACGGAUGCGACCAGUCAACCAUAUUAGUUCAACCAUAUUAGUUCAUUGGUGUCCCAUACCUUUUCAACGGUGUCCCAAACCUUUUCAAGAGCUUGUACCCCAUCUGAAGGGUCACGAA
RNAcentral lists this long non-coding RNA (2663 nucleotides) under Panax ginseng (ginseng). RNAcentral describes it as "long non-coding RNA (PGIN_LNC016997)". Lineage: Eukaryota; Viridiplantae; Streptophyta; Magnoliopsida; Apiales; Araliaceae. The record is from RNAcentral.